This 254-nucleotide ribosomal RNA is filed under the name uncultured bacterium. RNAcentral's name for it is "partial 16S ribosomal RNA". It matches the Rfam family "Bacterial small subunit ribosomal RNA", at positions 524 to 776 of the family's 1533-position model. The record is from RNAcentral.
UACGGAGGGUGCAAGCAUUAAUCGGAUUUAUUGGGCGUAAAGGGCGCGUAGGCGGGCCUGUAAGUCAGAUGUGAAAUCCCGGGGCUCAACCCCGGAACUGCAUUUGAAACUACAAGUCUAAGAGGGUAGAUGGAGAAAAUGGAAUUCCACAAGUAGCGGUGAAAUGCGUAGAUAUGUGGAAGAACACCAGUGGCGAAGGCGGUUUUCUAAUUUAUACCUGACGCUAAAGCGCGAAAGCUAGGGGAUCAAACAGG